UGCAAGAAAAUGAAACGGGCCAAAGUUUCAAAGGCAAAUGUACUGUAUGUGCAAACAGUACAUUGAGAAUGUACCUAUAUUACGAAUGCUUUAUUUACUUUUUGGAAGCCGGACUUUGCGUCCGCAGUGUAGUGAAGCCUCGACCCGCGAAACGUUCGAAAGAAAAACCGUUAGAUUAGACGAUAAGACUGUUCACAGGCUGUGGUCACCCAGCAGACUGACAUCAUUAUAAAUAUUGUUCUCUGAUUUGAGGAAAUGUCUCUGGACUUUCAGACCUGAAUAUCAGUGUGGUUUUGUACGCACACCCAGAGCCUUUUAAGCCCUAGGUACGUUGUUAGUGUAGACGUUAAGCUCCCGCUAGCGCCGGCCCUGCAAUCUAGGCGGUGUCCUAGGGCGCCGAUAUAAAUGGAGCACAAAAUUUGAGGGAAAAUAGUUUUAAAAACUUUAUAAGAAAUUAAAAUAUUUUAAAAUGUUAAUUAUAAUAUUAUAUGAAAAGUAUUUCACUCCAUGUGUGUGAGAGAAGCUAAUAUUAAUUGUAAUUAUUUUCUAUACAUUUUCGAGAAUUUACUAAAACGUUAAAUCCUCUGUUAAGAUCGUGAAAACGAACAUCUUGACGCUCUUUGCUAGUGUCUAUUGCUCUUCGCACCGCUGUCUGUAUUAUUGCCGUAGAGCUGUGAUAUCACGAGUUAGCGUUUUAGUUUAUACAGAAUCUAAAAAACUGUAAAACUGAGCCGUUUACCUAACUCACAAAAAGACACAGAGAAGAAAAGAGUCUGAGAAGAAAAAGGAAGAAAGACAGGGAAUUAACAGAAGCAGAAACACCCGGAGCUGAGAAAAUCAGAAGACACUUGGUUGAAGACAAGGAAUGAGAAAAUGCUUUAGAUGGAAAAAUCUGUUUUGUCUGAAACAGCAGUUUUUAAAGAUCCAGUGCAGAGUCCCAGGGGCAGGGAAGGACAAGGGAAUGGCAGAGGGGGGAUGUCCGGGCAGUGAGCUGAUGGGCUGAAGUGCAAGGAAAGGACUACUGAAGCCAGCAGAGCUCCAGGGUGCAGGACUGAGCUACAGUACCAGGCCCCCGGUCGGCCACAGGAUCUCAAAGGUAACAGCACAGCUGCAGACCCAGUGUGGACACCAAGGAACCAGAAGCGACAGGGGCCCACUACAGGACAAUUCCAGUGUGAAGUGAGUGUCGAGGUACCAGAAGGGUGUGCGGUGACCGCGGGCCACUGCUACACAAACCACCAGCCACAAGCUGCGCUGCCACCAGACAAAGAGUUAACCGCCAGCGGUACGCAGCUUGCUGGAGCAGUCAAGACGAGCACAGUGAAAGCCAAGUGAAGGAUAGCGGGUCAGGAUAGGCAGGCAAUAGGAAAGUCCAGGCACGCAGGGAACAGGAUCAAAUGGGCAACAGAGGGAAUUCAGGCAGACUGGGAACAGGAGGAAAGCAGGGAUAACUCCACUGGAAAUGCUGGCUGGUGGUCUGUAAGUGCAGGGCAGGGAUUGUUGAUGCAUUUGGAUCCAUUUUUACUGUUUCCUUAGUAAGUUGAGGUGAAAUUAGUGUAUGUGUCCAUGAUCUGGAGGAAUUUGUUUAGGACAAUUAUAUGUGAAUCUGGGGACACAGUAGAUAUACUGUACUGUUUUCUGAUAAUCUAACAAAACACACGUUUGGAUUGUUGUUCUCUUAACGUGUGCCAUAAAGCCAGACAGAUAUCCAUCAGAGAAAUAUUUAGAAAACCUCAUGGCCCUGCAC
This is a non-coding RNA of Lepisosteus oculatus (spotted gar), 1747 nucleotides long. The record is from RefSeq and is a predicted model, not a curated record. Lineage: Eukaryota; Metazoa; Chordata; Actinopteri; Semionotiformes; Lepisosteidae.